AUUUGUCAUGCAUCUGCUGAUGCACGAUAAAGUGCCAUUGGCUUUUUUGAUGGCUUCGUCACACUGCCGACUCAUGUUCAUCUUGGAGUCCACUAGGACUCCAAGAUCCCUUUCCAAUUCCAUGCCACCCAGCAGGUCAUUCCCUAGGCUGUAGGUGUGCUGGACAUUUUUCCUCCCUAGGUGCAGCACUUUGCAUUUCUCCUUGUUGAACUGCAUUCUGUUGUUUUCUGCCCACUUGUCCAACCUGUCCAGAUCUGCUUGCAGCUGUUCCCUGCCCUCCGGCGUGUCUACAUCUCCCCAUAUCUUUGUGUCAUCUGCCAACUUGGACAGAGUACAUUUGACUCCCUCUUUCAAGUCACUGAUGAAGACAUUAAAGAGUAUCGGUCCAAGGACCGAACCCUGCGGGACCCCACUGCCCACCCCCUUCCAGGUCGAAACCGACCCAUCCACCACGACUCUCUGGGUGCGACCCUCCAGCCAAUUCGCCACCCACCGGACUGUGUAGUCAUCCAAGUCACAGCCUCUUAACUUGUUCACCAGUAUGGUGUGGGAUACCGUAUCGAAGGCCUUCCUGAAGUCUAAGUAUACAACAUCCACCCCUCCUCCUGUGUCCAGGCAUUUCGUAACCUGGUCAUAAAAAGAAACUAGAUUGGUCAGGCACGAUCUGCCUGCCACGAACCCGUGCUGAUUUCCCUUCAGCAUAAUUUGUCCUGCCGGGCUCUCGCAAAUGUGAGCCUUGAUAAUUUUUUCAAAGACUUUGCCAAGGAUGGAGGUGAUACUGACUGGCCUAAAGUUGCCCGGGUCCUCCUUCCUCCCCUUUUUGAAAAUGGGGACCACGUUAGCCCUUUUCCAGUCCUCCAGGACUUGGCCCGUGCGCCACAAGCGUUCAAAUAUUCCCGCCAGUGGCUCUGCAAUGAUGUCGGCCAGUGCCUUCAGCACCCUCGGAUGGAGCUCAUCCGGACCUGCCGACUUAAAGGCAUCCAGUUCUUCCAAGUGACUCUGCACCGUCUCAGGGUCUACGCAUGGAAGUCUGGCGCCUUGCUGCUGCCUCUCUACAACCCCAGUGAGAGACUUGUCGUGCCCCUCACUUAGGAACACUGAGGCAAAGAACUUGUUGAGGAGUUCAGCCUUGUCCCCCCUGUCUGUCACCAAUUGUUUCUGCCCAUUUGUUUUUCCACAAUCAUUCUUUCAAGCAGGCUACGUAAAACGCUACCCUCUUACAGGAAAAAGUGUAUGAAAUUAUAUACACUUCACAUGCCUGCCUAUACCCAUGGUCAGAGGACAAGUUUUGGUUACAAAAACAGCUUUGUAUUUCUGUUCUGUCUAGCCAACUUGCAGUUCAUGUGGUCAAUUACAAAAGCUGUCUGAAUUGAGAGGUCAUUUCUCACACUGAUAGUAAAAGGACUUAACUGGGACUACAUGAACAUGAAAUUAGUACUAAGUAAAAUGUUUUAUCAACAAUUAUAUGCAGCAAAUGGUUUUGGAACCAUCUCAUUUUUUAUGGUGAAUGAAUAAUUAAAGUAGCUCAUAGUAAGCACAUCUAAGAAGUCUGACUUCUAAAAGGUGACAGAGUGAAUUCAUGUUCUUGUAAGCAAUGCUGGAUCCAAUUCUUUGCCUCAGGGAAGUAAGGAAAUUUUGCAGAAUGGUUUGUGCUUGUAUGAAUGAUGGAACUGAUAAUCUUAUUUAUUCUGAGCAUAUAGCACCUUUUAUUGCAAAGAAUUCCAGAUGCUUCAGAAUCUAAAUCAAUAAAGGAAUUCCAGAGCAUAUAAAAGUAUCAUGGCAUUAGUCCAAAGUGCUGUCUUUUACAAUAGGAUUAUAGGAUAUAGUGAUCCAUUUUAUUUAGGAACAUUAGAAAUGUAGCCAUUUAAGCACUGCCAGUGAAUGAAGGGGACAGAGGAGUGAAUGUAACCAAGGAUUUAGUAAGAGCAUUAUCAGAUCUGCCAACACAUAGAAAAGAGCUUGGUAUCUCUGCUCUUCCAUUAAAGACUCAGUUUUUUAGAUUUUUUCUUAAUCUAAAAAAAGCUGUAUAGAAUUCAUCUGCCUUUACACAGAGGUCUAGUCUGAUUUCAAGUCUAGGAAAGAAGCUGGCAAGACACCUUGUGGCUGAAAAUUUAACAUCUCUCACAAAUGUAAUAAGUACUUCAUAUUUGAUGCUUAGACCACUAAUCACUGUGGGUAAAACUCAGACAAACAUCAUGUAUCAACUGGUAGCCUGCACCAUAACAUUGGUGAAGAACAGCUUCCUCUGACUGCUGGUAGAUCCUGUUAGUAUCAAUGAGGAAGUUGUUUCCUCAUCCUGAAAGUAGAUGCUGCCUUUGGCAAAUUGGCCAAGUGGGUCUCUAUGAAGGUAAAGGUUUAGGAAGGCUGCUGUUCUUGUUUUGCUUUAGGGGUGUGAAAUCCAAGAUAUCAUACAGGGGACACUUCUGGCAUUUGGAGAAAAAUCAACUAAUGUUUCUUGUGUUCCCUCCUGAGGGAUAAAGAGCUUGACCAAAUAUCCAAUGUCAGGAUGCUGCAACAAGAUGAUAGUUACUGAAUAGAAGCAUUGAUGAAGUAGAUGUGGUUCUGUUGGGCUAGCCAUGUCCCAUGCAUGAGCAACAAACACAGCAUUUCAGACCUACUGAAGUUCCAUCUUGUUCAGAGCAGGAUGCUGACUCCUGGGAACUGUUGGUUGGAAAUAGACAGCAAGGACAUGAGAAGAUCAGAGGGUGUUGAUUACUCUGAGCAGCAACAUAAUAUUGUUCCUGAAGAAAAGCGUGCUAGAGUUAAGGAGCAAAAGCAGCAGAAAUUACAGACCUUACAUCUGCCACAGGUGCUGUGAAUAAUUAACAAGAUGCUGAAGAGACGCCUUUUGACAAUAAGGGAUUGCAAUUUCAGAAAUUCUCCUGCCUACUCAAAAGAAGCUCUGGAGGCAGAUAAAAACUACACUUAGGCCACCCCAGUGCAAUCUACACACAUUAUGGACCUCAACACUUUAGUUUUUGACAGUAGCAUAACUAGGGAUGGGUGGGAGGAGCACUGGAAUUGCCAUCCAUCCCCAUGCCUUAGCAGCAAAAGCAGCCCUAUGAUUUACAGUUUCAUAGAUUGUAAGGCCAGAAGGGACUGUUUGGGUAGCUUGUCAUAUUUUAUGCUUUAAAGUUGCACCUGUUUAUAGAGUGGUAAAUUAUAGCAUUGUUUAAAGUUUUCUUUACAUUCAGCCUAAAGUUCUGUAUAGUCUCAUUGUUCUGAACUUGUCAUUUUGCUGGCAUUUGCAAUAUCAGCUGGCCUUGUUUCUUGCAAGUAGCUUAUGGCCUUGAGUUUGCUUGCAUGAUGUUUCUUUCCUUUUUCUAUCACUGAGGUUUUCUAACACAACAUAGUAAUAGUUGUGUUACUAGCUCAAAUUAACUGAACUUGGCCCUAAUCAGCUGAAUGAGAGGGAUUAAAUGAUUGGAUAUGUUAAUGAAAGGUGAUAAAGGAGUCCAAUGGACAAUAUUUAAACUAAGACACUAGAAAAAGGCCAAAUUAAGAGGUGUGCUUGUAAUGGGGAUGUUGAACAAAAGAAUACAGGAUAAAAUAUGAACAAUAUGCUGACUGCAGGUAGACCAAUCCAAAAGCAAGGAGUCAAAGAAGUCAAGUUAAAGAAAAGCAUAAAAGGGGGAAGCAAGAAAGUUAAGUGUCGUUGUCGUCAUCGUCAUUAUUUACAUCAUGAAUCCAGCUUUCAGCACCUGUCUGGAUCAUCCCAGCCAACGACGCACCCUUUGCUUCAAGAACUGAGUGGCCAUCUUUUCUGAGAGGCAAAGUAACAUCUGGGAUUCGGUGAGAUCAUUGUACUAAAUGUUUUUUCUCUCUCUGAAUAUAAGAACUGCUGAGAUAAUACUUGUUGUAUUAAUAAAGUUAAACUUUGAUUAUAGGA
This is a long non-coding RNA of Alligator mississippiensis (American alligator), 3889 nucleotides long. RefSeq lists it as uncharacterized. The record is from RefSeq and is a predicted model, not a curated record. The transcript is spliced from 3 exons. Lineage: Eukaryota; Metazoa; Chordata; Crocodylia; Alligatoridae.